Molecule: long non-coding RNA, 1037 nt
Organism: Eucalyptus grandis
Lineage: Eukaryota; Viridiplantae; Streptophyta; Magnoliopsida; Myrtales; Myrtaceae
Exons: 3
Source: RefSeq, a predicted model, not a curated record
UCUCUCCCCUGUUCUCCCGGCUCCCUCUCUUUUGCGCCCGACCCUCUCUCCCUCCGACCCCUUGUCCGACGCACCCGACCGACGGACCACUGUGCAGCCCCUCCGGCUUCGGCAGAAGGCUCGGUGGUGCACGCUCUCGACUCUGCCCUCUCUCCUUCCGUCUCCCCCUUCGUCGAAUCGCGACGAAUUCAGAGGGUUUACACUGACGACGACGCGCCGUUGCCUCACCUUCGCCUCGAAGGGUACGAUUAGGGUCACGAGACUCCUAAUGCAUUUCUAUGUAUAUGUAAUUGUAUAAUGUCAUCUCUUGAAGUGAAUAACUAUGUAUUGUCCUUAGAGCAUACAUUUGAAAGCUCUACGUUUCGGUUCACCUUUGGGGUAGGUUCACCUUUGGGGUAAAGGUGUGUCGGCCACUGGGGUUGCAGGAUUUUGUUGGGGAGGUGAAAUUUUCUGAAUUCACUUUCACAGUUCUGAGGAGUUUUAGUGAUGAGAAAUUUGUUCUACCUUCACCAUUGAAAAACUAGUUCUGUUCACUUGUAAAAGGUUCUUUCAAGAUGUUAAAAAGAGCUUGCCUAUACUUUUCAGGAAAGGCACUAGCGAAAUUAGUAGGCAUUGAAGACAUUGGAGCAGCAGUUAUUCAGCACCCUGGUCGUAUGACUGAAGAUGAAAUCGAAGUCUGAGAGUUAUGUGAAAAUAUUCCCUAGUGUCAAUCAUGGAUGAAGUGUGAGGUGCGAAGACAACAACGAAUUUAUUGUCAAGAGUGCCGAAGAGGGCCAAGAGGACAUGUUGAAUUGGUUUUUGAAGCAUGUCAACCGAAUAGAAGACAUUUUAGAAAAUAUAGCGAGGGAAAGCAUUAGAUGAUGUUGUAAACCAUGAAUUGGUUUCGUCAGCAUUGAAGUUGUGUACAUGUUUUGAAUGAUUCUUGAAUUCUUUUUUGACCAAUUUGAUGAUCGAUGCAUUUCCUGUUCUUUGAACUUCAACUGUGAAUUUUUGUAAAUCAUACUGCUCUUAAUAUUAAAGAAUAGGAAAUUCUUGCC